Molecule: non-coding RNA, 482 nt
Organism: Chiloscyllium plagiosum (whitespotted bambooshark)
Lineage: Eukaryota; Metazoa; Chordata; Chondrichthyes; Orectolobiformes; Hemiscylliidae
Source: RefSeq, a predicted model, not a curated record
AAUGAAUCUGAAUUGAUUGUUCUGCAGCAAGAUGCCAACUGGUUUGCUAUUCAGUGUCUUUGUUCUUCGACUUUCACUUAUUUUCACAGAACGAAACUUAAAUGAUAUUUAUUUUUUGGAUGGACAAGUUAAUAUUUCAUUAAAAGGACCAGAUAAUCCUGGACAGGGUACUUUUAUCUGGGAAUGGGAACCACACUCUGGGCAAGAGAAACAGCAGCUGAUUACUUUUCAGAAAAAGAUGAGCUGGUGGAAAGCAGAAUGGAAUGAAUACUAGAAAAAUAACAACUUGGAUCAGUGGUUAGAGGAGGAUCCUGAUUCUAUUGGUCUGAGACUUAGAAACCUUGCAUUUAACCUUGCAGGGUUGUACACUCUGCUUCAGACACAGCCGAGUAAAACCAUCCUUAAAAGAUACAACAUUUUCGGGAUCAAAGUUGUAUCAAGUGCCCAGUAUCCUGACCCCAGAGAAGGCAGUGAUGUUACCC